GACGAACGCUGCGGCGUGCCUAAUACAUGCAAGUAGAACGCACAGGAUGCACCGUAGUUUACUACACCGUAUUCUGUGAGUUGCGAACGGUGAGUAACGCGUAGGUAACCUGCCUGGUAGCGGGGGAUAACUAUUGGAAACGAUAGCUAAUACCGCAUAAGAACAUUUACUGCAUGGUAGAUGUUUAAAAGGUGCAAAUGCAUCACUACCAGAUGGACCUGCGUUGUAUUAGCUAGUAGGUGAGGUAACGGCUCACCUAGGCGACGAUACAUAGCCGACCUGAGAGGGUGAUCGGCCACACUGGGACUGAGACACGGCCCAGACUCCUACGGGAGGCAGCAGUAGGGAAUCUUCGGCAAUGGGGGGAACCCUGACCGAGCAACGCCGCGUGAGUGAAGAAGGUUUUCGGAUCGUAAAGCUCUGUUGUUAAGGAAGAACGAGCGUGAGAAGGAAAGUUCAUACUGUGACGGUACUUAACCAGAAAGGCAACG
This 491-nucleotide ribosomal RNA is filed under the name Streptococcus intermedius. Its description in RNAcentral is "bacterial SSU rRNA". It matches the Rfam family "Bacterial small subunit ribosomal RNA", at positions 28 to 496 of the family's 1533-position model. The record is from RNAcentral. Lineage: Bacteria; Bacillati; Bacillota; Bacilli; Lactobacillales; Streptococcaceae.